Molecule: ribosomal RNA, 253 nt
Filed under: uncultured bacterium
Lineage: Bacteria
Description: partial 16S ribosomal RNA
Rfam family: Bacterial small subunit ribosomal RNA
Source: RNAcentral
UACGGGGGGGGCAAGCGUUGUUCGGAAUUACUGGGCGUAAAGGGCGCGUAGGCGGCCUACUAAGUCGGACGUGAAAUCCCUCGGCUCAACCGAGGAACUGCGUCCGAUACUGGCAGGCUGGAAUCCGGGAGAGGGAUGUGGAAUUCCAGGUGUAGCGGUGAAAUGCGUAGAUAUCUGGAGGAACACCGGUGGCGAAGGCGGCAUCCUGGACCGGUAUUGACGCUGAGGCACGAAGGCCAGGGGAGCAAACGGG